Molecule: ribosomal RNA, 250 nt
Filed under: uncultured prokaryote
Description: partial 16S ribosomal RNA
Rfam family: Bacterial small subunit ribosomal RNA
Source: RNAcentral
UACGUAGGUGGCGAGCGUUGUCCGGAUUUACUGGGUGUAAAGGGCGCGUAGGCGGGGAUGCAAGUCAGAUGUGAAAUCCAUGGGCUUAACCCAUGAACUGCAUUUGAAACUGUGUCUCUUGAGUGUCGGAGAGGUAGAUGGAAUUCCUAGUGUAGCGGUGAAAUGCGUAGAUAUUAGGAGGAACACCAGUGGCGAAGGCGAUCUACUGGACGAUAACUGACGCUGAGGCGCGAAAGCGUGGGGAGCAAAC